Non-coding RNA from Pelobates cultripes (western spadefoot toad), 398 nucleotides. The record is from the annotation of a GenBank genome assembly. NCBI's taxonomy places the organism in Eukaryota, Metazoa, Chordata, Amphibia, Anura, Pelobatidae.
GCCUCUGGUUACCACCUUCUCAUCAGUAUCCUGCCGAUUACAUAUCUCCUACUUAUGUUACACAGCUGUCUCUAAUAAAUUUGAUUAUACUGUUUGGCAUAAUCUGUACUAUUUACAAUGUUUCUUUGAAUGUAGGUACUGAUGUGGUUGGCCUACUUAUAAUUUAGGAGUUUCCACAAAUUCUACGGUUAGUACCGAUGUCUCUCUUUUUUUUUUUUUUUCCUUAACUAAUCUGUAUAUGAUUCUUCUUGCCCUUGCCUAGUAAUGUCAUUGGUUUAUACCUCUCCUGUGGCUGAUCAUUACUGUAUCAAUUCAUCCACGGUGUGAUGUAUUGUUGUGAGUCUGAUUUUUUGCAAUAUAUAUAUGUUUAUAUAUAUUCAUUAUUGCAGUGUUUUAAU